This is a non-coding RNA of Macrostomum lignano, 113 nucleotides long. NCBI's taxonomy places the organism in Eukaryota, Metazoa, Platyhelminthes, Macrostomidae. The record is from Rfam.
GCAGAUACGGCGACAUGGUGCCAACCACCAUCAUUGGCAAAAUUGUGGGUGGUGUCUGCUCCCUGUCCGGGGUUCUCGUCAUCGCCCUCCCAGUGCCGGUCAUCGUGAGCAGC